UCCAUUGUGGCUCAGUUGGUAGAGCAUGGCACUUGCAAUGCCAGGGUUGUGGGUUCAAUUCCCACGAGGGAC
RNAcentral lists this transfer RNA (72 nucleotides) under Salmo salar (Atlantic salmon). It matches the Rfam family "tRNA". Rfam says of the family: Transfer RNA (tRNA) molecules are approximately 80 nucleotides in length. The record is from Rfam by way of RNAcentral. RNAcentral also lists the same sequence under 1 other name. Lineage: Eukaryota; Metazoa; Chordata; Actinopteri; Salmoniformes; Salmonidae.